Molecule: long non-coding RNA, 350 nt
Filed under: Phoenix dactylifera (date palm)
Lineage: Eukaryota; Viridiplantae; Streptophyta; Magnoliopsida; Arecales; Arecaceae
Description: long non-coding RNA (PDAC_LNC009717)
Source: RNAcentral
AUCGGGGGUCAUUAGCCGAAAGCUCGCUACAUGGACCUUACUAAAGCCUAAUGGGGUUGGACAGCUGUAGUCGUCAUAUGUAAAAAAAAAAUGAAAUAAAAAUAAGCAUGAAUGAGUUGGUCAGGCUGAACCCAGUGACAUGUGGUAAUGGCUGGUUUGACUCCAUUGUAUUGGACCUCUGUGAACCCGGGUUGUUUAGUUGGGAUUGAUAGCUCUUUCUUUACAUACGAACCAUUCUUGAUGAAUGUAGACAACAUGUGAUAUUCUGAAAAUUUGAUGGAUCAGGUUCUAACAAAUUGUAGAAACACUUGUGAACUUGAGUAGUGCACCUAAAACUCGGACGGUGCCCU